This 512-nucleotide ribosomal RNA is filed under the name uncultured bacterium. Its description in RNAcentral is "partial 16S ribosomal RNA". It matches the Rfam family "Bacterial small subunit ribosomal RNA", at positions 28 to 523 of the family's 1533-position model. The record is from RNAcentral.
GACGAACGCUGGUGGCGUGCCUAAUACAUGCAAGUCGAGCGGACCAAUAGAAGCUUGCUUCUGUUGGUUAGCGGCGGACGGGUGAGUAACACGUGGGCAACCUGCCUGUAAGACUGGGAUAACUUCGGGAAACCGGAGCUAAUACCGGAUAAUUCAUCCCCUCGCAUGAGGGGAUGCUGAAAGUCGGUUUACGCUGACAAUUACAGAUGGGACCGCGGCGCAUGAGCUAGUUGGUGAGGUAAUGGCUCACCAAGGCGACGAUGCGUAGCCGACCUGAGAGGGUGAUCGGCCACACUGGGACUGAGACACGGCCCAGACUCCUACGGGAGGCAGCAGUAGGGAAUCUUCCACAAUGGACGAAAGUCUGAUGGAGCAACGCCGCGUGAGCGAUGAAGGCCUUCGGGUCGUAAAGCUCUGUUGUUAGGGAAGAACAAGUAUCGGAGUAACUGCCGGUACCUUGACGGUACCUAACCAGAAAGCCACGGCUAACUACGUGCCAGCCGCCGCGGUAA